GAUGAACGCUGGCGGCGUGCCUAAUACAUGCAAGUCGAGCGAACGGACGAGAAGCUUGCUUCUCUGAUGUUAGCGGCGGACGGGUGAGUAACACGUGGAUAACCUACCUAUAAGACUGGGAUAACUUCGGGAAACCGGAGCUAAUACCGGAUAAUAUUUUGAACCGCAUGGUUCAAAAGUGAAAGACGGUCUUGCUGUCACUUAUAGAUGGAUCCGCGCUGCAUUAGCUAGUUGGUAAGGUAACGGCUUACCAAGGCAACGAUGCAUAGCCGACCUGAGAGGGUGAUCGGCCACACUGGAGCUGAGACACGGUCCAGACUCCUACGGGAGGCAGCAGUAGGGACUCUUCCGCAAUGGGCGAAAGCCUGACGGAGCAACGCCGCGUGAGUGAUGAAGGUCUUCGGAUCGUAAAACUCUGUUAUUAGGGAAGAACAUAUGUGUAAGUAACUGUGCACAUCUUGACGGUACCUAAUCAGAAAGCCACGGCUAACUACGUG
This 497-nucleotide ribosomal RNA is filed under the name uncultured bacterium. RNAcentral describes it as "partial 16S ribosomal RNA". It matches the Rfam family "Bacterial small subunit ribosomal RNA", at positions 28 to 507 of the family's 1533-position model. The record is from RNAcentral.